UGCGGGAUCGUCUAAUGGUAGGACGCAUGCCUCUGGAGCAUGCUAUCUAGGUUCAAAUCCUAGUCCCGCAGCCA
RNAcentral lists this transfer RNA (74 nucleotides) under candidate division WOR-1 bacterium RIFOXYA12_FULL_36_13. Its description in RNAcentral is "tRNA-Gln". It matches the Rfam family "tRNA". From Rfam's summary of the family: Transfer RNA (tRNA) molecules are approximately 80 nucleotides in length. Their secondary structure includes four short double-helical elements and three loops (D, anti-codon, and T loops). Lineage: Bacteria; Bacillati. RNAcentral also lists the same sequence under 6 other names. The record is from RNAcentral.